GAGCUUCUCCAGCAGUGGGACUUCUACAGUAAGCGGUCUACUCUAAACUUCUACGACAACUGAUCUCCAUCCGAGCUUCUACGGUAAGCGGCCUCCUUCCAGACUCCUACAGGAACUGGACUCCGUCCGAACUUCUACAGCGGUUGGAUUUCGGAUGAACUUCUACAACGGACGUGCUCCAGCAGUCGGAUUUCUAUAGUGACUGACUAUCUCUGGUGUCUUCUGAAUCUCUCAAGCCAUCAACCUUCGACAGCGCC
This 257-nucleotide long non-coding RNA is filed under the name Elaeis guineensis (African oil palm). RNAcentral's name for it is "long non-coding RNA (EGUI_LNC049552)". Lineage: Eukaryota; Viridiplantae; Streptophyta; Magnoliopsida; Arecales; Arecaceae. The record is from RNAcentral.